Aedes aegypti (yellow fever mosquito) is the source of this 72-nucleotide non-coding RNA. NCBI's taxonomy places the organism in Eukaryota, Metazoa, Arthropoda, Insecta, Diptera, Culicidae. The record is from Rfam.
GGCUCGGUAGCUUAGUUGGUAAAGCGCUCGUCUAGCAUACAAGAAUCCUGGGUUCAAAUCCCAGCCGAGCAC